Diceros bicornis minor is the source of this 355-nucleotide long non-coding RNA. RefSeq lists it as uncharacterized. Lineage: Eukaryota; Metazoa; Chordata; Mammalia; Perissodactyla; Rhinocerotidae. The record is from RefSeq and is a predicted model, not a curated record. The transcript has 3 exons.
UCUGCGGCCAGCCAGCAGAGCCUGGAGCUGGACGACCAGGACACGUGCGGGAUAGACGGGGACAAUGAGGAGGAGACGGAGCACGCCAAGGGAAGUCCCGGAGGGGAUUUGGGUGCCAAAAAGAAAAAGAAGAAACAGAAGAGAAAAAAGGAGAAACCAAAUUCCGGAGGCACCAAGUCCGACUCGGCAUCGGAUUCCCAGGAGAUUAAAAUCCAGCAGCCUUCAAAACACAUCAUCAUCUGGCAGCAGAUUUCAGCGGGAGCAGCCCCAGGUAAGUCUUACGUUGACUUUGAAUCGGACCAGUCUUCAGUGGCCAAUCUUGAUGAAGGGUGGGAAAUAGCUCCCAACGAUCCCC